Molecule: long non-coding RNA, 2107 nt
Organism: Triticum dicoccoides
Lineage: Eukaryota; Viridiplantae; Streptophyta; Magnoliopsida; Poales; Poaceae
Exons: 5
Source: RefSeq, a predicted model, not a curated record
CCUAUCCCUAACCCGCUCUCGUCUCCCUCGGACGCAGCCGGCCGCCGAAUCGAAUCCCGCCCGCGGGCUCAUCUGCCUCGCCAUGGCCGAUGAACGCGUCGGCUGCGGCCGCGUCCCUCUCCCAACGGCGGCGUUGAUGGAGGGAGCAGCUGGCGCUGGCCAAGCUGCCGAUCGAUGGACGCGCCGGGCGUCACUCCUCGGGUCCAGCCCCUCCCGCUCCCUGCAUCUCUCCCUGUCUCCUCCACGAGCUGCACGGAAGUACGUACAUGCAUCCUUGUGAGGAAGAUUGAUCGGGAUGGAGAAAUCAGGCGACGCGGAACCACACCAAGCUCCAAUACUAUCGCCUCGUGUGUUGCCUGCUCCACCUCCUUACGGAUAUGCUGCUUCUUAUCAUGUCCCAGCCGCUGGUGCUACCAAUCCAAGUGUUCAUCCAUUCUGGUCUAUUUCUUUGGAUAAUUUAUGGAGGCCGUGGUUCUGGUAUUUGCAUGUAUUCACAAAUUGUUCACAAGGCCUGGAGGAAAUAAUAGGGAGGAUUGGAGAUGCACCGGGCAUGCCAUGGCAACGAAACAAAAGCUUAUUACUUCAAUUCAAUUAUGCAAGUUGAAGAAGGUACAAACUAUUAACUCCGAUCUUCUAAUGCUUCCUUUCUUUUUUUUAAUGUGGUUUGGCUCGACAAACAAUAUUUUCUUUGUGGCAUACUGCACUAGCUCUAAUUUGAGUACUUCAAUUCAACUUAAAGUAACUUAUUUUCUAACACUUAAUAAUGAGCUCACAGAUGAUAGAAGCAGAAAAAAAAUACUUGGCCAAAUAUCAUUUAACCAGAUAUUGUACAUUGUAGAAUCAGUAGUCUAUCUCACUUCAUUCUUGUUAGAACCUGCAUAAGAUUUUGUAUGUGAUGCUUUUGUUUAUUCAAUCAAGUGAAAUAAGGGCUACAACAAGAGAUCACCAUUAGGUUAUCAUGAACCAGCAAAAUGGGUAUAAGAAGCUAUAUUCAAGAAAAGAUAUUUUGCUCAUUCUUUACCCAGAGCAAAUAUAAAGUCGCAUACGAACAUCUGAAACUAAGAACUCAACAAAUAGAUCAGUAUAUUCCAUGUUAAGUAUACAACUCACAAAUAGACAUUUCCAGUGAGAAAAUAUUAACUAUUUCUAAAAUGUCGUGACAAGUUGUUUUUUUUGUAGAAUUUUAUGCUCUUGCUGUUAUCUUAGCCUCACAGGAUUGUAUAUUUUGAUGGAAUAUAGUAAGAUUUUCUUAUAAUCACGAGUUCUUUUAUAAUUGGAUGAGAAGAUACCAUCUAGCGCAUCAAUUAAGAAUUACCCAUAUUAAUACCUCGAACAGGGAUGCAUGUAUUUGAUCUUUCCUGCUGAGAUUCAGUGUUUCCUAUCGGAGGUCUGAAUUUGCAUAUGUGGGGCCUCUCAGUUAGAUUGUAAGUAUACUAACCAUUCUGUAACUGAGGUUGUGCCAUAUAUCUAGAACUGUAGAAUAUCUUCCACAUAUGUUCAUUCAGGGACCUUAGAAAUUCACUAUUGAGGGUUCAUUGCCAAGAAGGCAACUCAUCUCUUCGGCAUUGAAUUUAUUUGGAGUGUUGCAAUUAUCGCAAUGCUCAGUGACAACUACCAGGGUCAUGAAGAAGUCCUAGCUCAACAAUGGCUCCGUGAGCUCUAACAGGUGUGGUGGGCUGCCAACGACCUACACAUAGUAUUGCUUAAAUCGGCUGCAAUCACUAGAUUCUCGUCACUAACUCUGUGAACUGGUAGAAAGUGGUCACGUUGGGAAAGUAGUAAACGGAAUGCUACUAAAAUAGUGGGCCUUUGGGCAACACCUAAAGCAUUGCAAUAAGCUUCUGAUAAGAAUUUCGUACAAGAAUAGGUGCUUGUAAAUAUGUUGAAUUGUUCAUGGUGGAGUUGUUGUACAGUCUCCCAACAGCAAUGAUUUACAAGGCUCAAGGGACUAUAUAAAGGCCAAACACUUGGAAUUCAAACAAGCUAGGUUCAAAAUGGUAACUUUGAGUUAUUAUUUAUGUUGUUUGGCUGGCUUAUUUGAUGCCGAAGUUGUAUGAGGAUACGUGUGUUUUAAAAUUUUGCUAUUGGAUUUCACUUUUUUUCUUUA